This 440-nucleotide ribosomal RNA is filed under the name uncultured bacterium. RNAcentral's name for it is "partial 16S ribosomal RNA". It matches the Rfam family "Bacterial small subunit ribosomal RNA", at positions 338 to 795 of the family's 1533-position model. The record is from RNAcentral.
CCUACGGGGUGCAGCAGUGGGGAAUAUUGCACAAUGGGGGUAACCCUGAUGCAGCGAUGCCGCGUGAGUGUAGAAGUACUUUGUUAUGUAAAGCUCUAUUAGCAGGGAAGAAAAAGACGGUAUCUGAGUAAGAAGCUCCGGCCAACUACGUACCAGCAGCCGCGGUACUAAGGAGCGGGCAAGCGUAAUCCGGAUUUACUGGGUGUAAGGGGAGCGUAGACGGCAGUGCAAGUCUGGAGGGAAAGGCAGGGACUAAACUCCCGGAGUGCUCUGGAUACUGUACGGCUGGAGUGCAGAAGAGGUGAGUGGAAUUGCUAGUGUAGCGGUGAAAUGCAUAGAUAUUAGGAGGAACACCAGUGGCGAAGGCGGCUUACGGGACUGUAACUGACGUUGAGGCUCGAAAGCGUGGGGAUCAAACAGGAUUAGAUACCCGUGUAGUC